ACACAUGCAAGUCGAGGGGCAGCAUGGUCUUAGCUUGCUAAGGCCGAUGGCGACCGGCGCACGGGUGAGUAACGCGUAUCCAACCUGCCUUACACUCUUGGACAGCCUUCUGAAAGGGAGAUUAAUACAAGAUGUUAUCAUGAGUAAGCAUUUUCACAUGAUUAAAGGUUUACCGGUGUAAGAUGGGGAUGCGUUCCAUUAGAUAGUAGGCGGGGUAACGGCCCACCUAGUCUUCGAUGGAUAGGGGUUCUGAGAGGAAGGUCCCCCACAUUGGAACUGAGACACGGUCCAAACUCCUACGGGAGGCAGCAGUGAGGAAUAUUGGUCAAUGGACGAGAGUCUGAACCAGCCAAGUAGCGUGAAGGAUGAAGGUUCUAUGGAUUGUAAACUUCUUUUAUACGGGAAUAAACGGAUCCACGUGUGGAUUUUUGCAUGUACCGUAUGAAUAAGGAUCGGCUAACUCCGUGCCAGCAGCCGCGGCAAUACGGAGGAUCCGAGCGUUAUCCGGAUUUAUUGGGUUUAAAGGGAGCGUAGAUGGGUUGUUAAGUCAGUUGUGAAAGUUUGCGGCUCAACCGUAAAAUUGCAAUUGAUACUGGCAGUCUUGAGUACAGUUGAGGUAGGCGGAAUUCGUGGUGUAGCGGUGAAAUGCUUGGAUAUCACGAAGAACUCCGAUUGCGAAGGCAGCUUAUUAACCUGUAACUGACAUUGAUGCUCGAAAGUGUGGGUAUCAAACAGGAUUAGAUACCCUGGUAGUCCACACGGUAAACGAUGAAUACUCGCUGUAGGCGAUAUACGGUCUGCGGCCAAGCGAAAGCAUUAAGUAUUCCACCUGGGG
Molecule: ribosomal RNA, 835 nt
Filed under: uncultured bacterium
Lineage: Bacteria
Description: bacterial SSU rRNA
Rfam family: Bacterial small subunit ribosomal RNA
Source: RNAcentral